AGGGUUGAUAGCACCAAAUUAUUGAUGCUAUUAGGUUUUCAGCUAUUAGAUGAAAAAAUAUACGGUUACGAUGAUGUGGGUCAUCUAGGGUUGAGUGAGUUAUUGAUUGAAUAGUAUAAUUUAAUAGGUAAAAAUAAUCAAAGAGUUAAAUUUAACGGUGGAAAAAUUGGUAGCACUAAGUGCUUGGUGCUAUCGAUAAUAUCCCGGCCGGACUAUAUAUAUAUAUAUAUAUAGAGAGAGAGAGAGAGAGAGAGAGAGAGAGAGAGAGAGAGAGAGAGAGUUCGGCCAGGAUACUAUCGAUAGCACGAAGCAUUUUGUGCUAUCAAGUUUUCUGCCAUUAGAUUUGCCUCUUUUAUCAUUUU
This 362-nucleotide long non-coding RNA is filed under the name Ananas comosus (pineapple). Its description in RNAcentral is "long non-coding RNA (ACOM_LNC044196)". The record is from RNAcentral. Lineage: Eukaryota; Viridiplantae; Streptophyta; Magnoliopsida; Poales; Bromeliaceae.